GUGAGUGGGGCUGGCUCACAGCUGAGGGCAUGGAGCAAAUGUGACUGGAAGCAGGGUUGCGCGCCGUGGGAGGGCAGGGCAGGGAGCAAGGGGACGUCGGAAAUGCCCCCUCCGGGUCCAGCCAUCCAAAGAGACGGAUCAGCAACAGAGAACCUGUAAGACUGAGCAAGCAAGUUUGGGAGGCAGACUGGAAAGAUUGCCAGCAUCUGGGGAGACUUAAGUAAUGGGAGCUUUUCAGAGGAUGUCCAGGGCAAAGGAUGUUGGUGGGGCAGAGCUGCAGAGGGUGCCAAGCACAUUCCUGCCAUCCGUGAGACAGAGCUAACAAAUGUCUCUCUUCCACAGAUCUUGCGAAGACCAAAGCAGUCCAGCAGCUCAGAAGAAAUCAUUGAAGAAAGUUGCAGGUACAAGCCCUUAGAAGCAAAGCACCCAGAAGCUGGGGGAUGGAUGCUCAGGACUGUAGGAAGGUCAGCAUACUUGGAGGAUUUUGUUUUCUUCCAGUGGAGUGGAUGGAGUGAAAAACAGAAAGAAAACAGAGGAAAGUUCAGAGAUCUUUGAAUGAUUGAAGAUGAUAAUAUCAUCCAAGAAAAUCAUAGGCAUUAGAGUGUUUGUUGCACAGCAGUUACUGGAGAGAAAGAUGUUCUUUAUUUUGUUUUCAACUUCACAUCUCAGCAGCUUUGCAGAGUGCCUGGUACCUAAAACCUCUCUGUCAUAUCAUAAGAAAAGAAUGUGUGCAUCUUGACCUUCCUUCCCACUGCGGUCCAUCCAGAGCUCCUGGAAAUGAACACCUUUGACAACGGAUCUGUGACACCUGACCCUAAAGACCAGUUGGGCUGAAUAUCUGCCCAACAGAAACAUUUGAGCACAAAAUACAGCUAUUGUCUUAAUGUGUUUCAUCAGUGGGGACUAGUUUGAACAUUCUGUCCUAUAAUUGUUUUCCGGGUUUAGCUUUUUGUCCACUGUGAAGGCAUGAAGCAAGCAUUUUGAGUUCUCAAUCUGGUAAAACACUGAUUGCUACAUUCACUAAAUUGAAUGUGAUGGUUAAUUUUGUGUGUCAACUUGACUAGGGUAGGGAAUACCCAGAUAUUUGCUCAAAUAUUUUUCUGGGUGUUUCUGUGAGGGUACUUUAGUGAGACUAGCAUUUAAAUUGAUAGCCUGAGUAAAGCAGAUUGCUCUCCUAACGUGGGUGAGCCUCACCAAUCGACUGAAGGCCUGAAUAGAACAAGAAGGCUGAGACCUCCUCCAAGUAAGAGAGAAUUCUUCCAGCCUGAUGGCCAUUGAACAGAGACAUUGGCUUUUUUCCUGCUUUUAGAUUGGAACUGAAACAUCAGGUCUUCCUGUGGCUUGAGCCUGCCAGCCUUCAACUAGAACUACACUGUUGGCUCUUUGGGGUCUCCAUCUUGCGGAUUCACCCUGUAGAUCUUGGGAUUUGCCAACCUAACAUAACCAUGUGAUCCAAUUUCUUAUAAUGGAUCUGUAUCUAUAUCCAUAUCCAUAUCCGUAUCUGUAUCCGUAUCUGUAUCCAUAUCUGUAUCUGUAUCUAUAUCUGUAUCUGUCUAUACACAUAUCCUAUUGCUUCUAUUUCUCUGAAGAACCUUGACUAAUAAAAUGGACAAUCGGAAUUUCUGGUGUGGUUUAGGGUAGACAAAAAAGAUCUCCUGAUGGGUAAAGUGGCAGUGAUGAUAACAAUACGUGG
Long non-coding RNA from Equus caballus (horse), 1693 nucleotides. The record is from Ensembl. NCBI's taxonomy places the organism in Eukaryota, Metazoa, Chordata, Mammalia, Perissodactyla, Equidae.